This 374-nucleotide ribosomal RNA is filed under the name uncultured bacterium. RNAcentral describes it as "bacterial SSU rRNA". It matches the Rfam family "Bacterial small subunit ribosomal RNA", at positions 523 to 898 of the family's 1533-position model. The record is from RNAcentral.
AUACGUAGGGGGCGAGCGUUAUCCGGAUUCAUUGGGCGUAAAGCGCGCGCAGGCGGCUCGUUAAGUCGGGUGUCAAAGCCCGGGGCCCAACCCCGGUCCGCAUCCGAAACUGGCGGGCUCGAGUUCGGUAGAGGAGGGUGGAAUUCCCAGUGUAGCGGUGAAAUGCGCAGAUAUUGGGAGGAACACCGAUGGCGAAGGCAGCCCUCUGGGCCGCAACUGACGCUGAGGCGCGAAAGCUGGGGGAGCGAACAGGAUUAGAUACCCUGGUAGUCCCAGCCGUAAACGAUGGACACUAGGUGUGGGGGGGACGGCCCCUCCGCGCCGCAGCCAACGCAUUAAGUGUCCCGCCUGGAGAGUACGGCCGCAAGGCUAAA